AUUUUCUCGCGAUGAAAUAAAGGACAGUGUAGUCGACCAGCGUGCCGGACUGCCGGUGGCGACCACCUCGGGGCGGAGCAGCAGCGGGCAGGGGACGACGACGUUGGGGGUGGGGCACUCGCGUGCUGUCGGCGGCGACCGCGAGGCAGCUGCGGGUCGGCGACCUUAGGGGCGGGGCAAGCGCGUGUCGGCGGCGGCGACAACGGGGCUGCCGCGGGCCGGUGGCGGCGACCACGUGAUGGGGAAGCAGCCUUCCGGCGGCGGCGACCGCGAGGCUGCCGCGGGCCGAUGGAGGCGACCGAGGGAUGCUGCAGGCGCAUGCCUGUGACAGAGCCGCUGGGGCGGAACGCGGGCGGAGCAGGGACGGUCCAUGCCGGUGACAAUAGGGUUAAGGAGGAGUAAGGGAUCAUAGUUCGACAGCUUAGACGCGCACAUCGCCCACGAUGAUGCCAUGCAACUGAAAGGGCUGACUUCAUGGAUGGGAUGAUGCUUUGUUUCCGUCAAAGCUUUUACUGUUGAACUUCAUGGAUGCGACGACAGGCUGAUUUCAGUUGUCGUUUGCUGUAGGAAUUUGCAGAGUCUUCGUGACAGCAGAAGUCUCCAACAGAGCAACAACAACUAAGGUUAAAGAAGAAGAUACCGCCACGGAAAAUACUGGUUCCCUUACCCCCUAUCCAAUGCUGCUAAUGACUAUGUGAUCUCUAACUGCACAUUGCAAGAACACGUCAAAUUUGCCAUCGUUUGAUGUUAACUUUUUUUUUUGUUUAUGAGGGAAUGAUCUCUGGGUAUUUUUUUAGCCUCCUACAAAAUGCUUGAAAGAAUCACGAAUUCAACCAUUCAAUCUUUGUCAAUAUAUGUGAGCACGCUUCAUGAGUUUUGGGCUAAAAGUGUAGAAACUGAAUAUUCAGAGUCCAUUCGUAUUGUAGAACUAUUAAAUAGAUCAAUUUUUGAAAAGCAACAGUAUGGCAUAAAUGUUUUAAGAUCCUUCAUGAAAAACUGAAACAUGAUCAGUUUGCCAUCUACAAUCAGAUGCUUACUUAGUUAAUUUGAUGUUAAAUUUUUCCGUAAAAUAUGAGAGUUCUUAGUUGCUGAAUUCUGUUUUCCUACAAGACAUUGUCUAGAUAUGUAGAUUAAAGAUGGGCGAUGGGUCGGCGCUUUCUGCAGAUUAAGGAAAUCUUUAGGGGAGGCGCUAUGAGCUUUGGACCUCUGCGGAAAUGACGGGGUCCUUGGUCAAUGGAUGUGCCUGCUUACAGGUUUUAUGUGGCAGAAAAUCCAAUUCAUCUGAAGAGCAUAAUUGUUGAGCUAUGACUGAUCAUCACUCUAAAAAAAUAUGCCCUUACUUAUGUGGACACCCAUCAUUGCUGAAGAAAUGUUCUCUCCAUAUUAUGCAUUGGAACAUAUUGAUCAGGAGACAAUGGCAAUGGAUUAUCCAUCUGGUUUUGCAUGCAUUGUUCUUUCCCAAAAAACUCAUAAGGAUACUAGAUGGAGUUGCUAUCAAGGUACCUGAUGAUUGUGUAUCAGAAGGCUCUUCCUCUUGAAGCAGCAGCCUUGACACUUUUUUCUAAACAAAUACAAUGUAUCUCUGGAAAAAGCCCAAUAUCUUUAUUGAAUUACAAGAAGACAUAGAUUUGUUGUUGCUUCUACUGUAUCUACAGACGUAUUGUAUGACCAGAGGAGUGUUACAUUCCAUCCAAGAUAUUUGAUGUUGAGGCUAUUCAAAAUUAUUCUUCAUCUGUGGGGAUCCAUAAUGACAACUGAAACUUAUACAGUGGCCACCGGAGUACGGUCCAGCCAGCUGUGUCCGCAUUAUGGCCUGAAUUUUUGGCCCGAAUUAUGGCCUGUAGGUGGUCUUCUAUAGCUGAAGCACAGCUCUGCAGAAGGAAGAGAUCUAUCUGCAUAUCACAUUGCUUUUGUCACCAAUAAUGUGUUCUACAUCGAUAUGAUGUCUGCGUUCCAGGUUUUCUUGCACAUUCAGUGUGAAACACUACGACUUCCCUGGCGACAAUGAUGAAGAUGGGCCUUCAGCAAACAAAGAGAGCAAAGAAAUCAUGGUCCUCGACUCCUCCAACGUGGACGAUGACGAUGAUGGCGAGCAUUCAUAUUUCCAAAGCCACAAAGCAUCACGAUGACGCGAGCAUUCAUAUCUCCAAGCCACAAAGUAUCGAAGAUGGUUAUCCUGGCAUUAGCUUCUUUAAGUUUCCAUCACCCCAUGUAUGUCCAUAUUUUUCAUUUAGUAAAUCCGUUUUGGUUUCUUUCAUGUCCAAUGUCCAACAACCUGGCUUGAUGGGCUUUGGAGAGAUGUUUCUAUUGUUAAACGACGUUU
Lolium perenne is the source of this 2323-nucleotide long non-coding RNA. RefSeq lists it as uncharacterized. Lineage: Eukaryota; Viridiplantae; Streptophyta; Magnoliopsida; Poales; Poaceae. The record is from RefSeq and is a predicted model, not a curated record.